UAGUACGAGAGGACCGGGAUGGACGUACCUCUGGUGUACCAGUUGUCCUGCCAAGGGCAUGGCUGGGUAGCUAUGUGCGGAAUGGAUAAGCGCUGAAAGCAUCUAAGCGCGAAGCCAACUUCAAGAUAAGAUUUCCCACCGCAAGGGUAAGACCCCAGAAAGACUAUCUGGUUGAUAGGUCGAAGGUGUAAGUGCAGCAAUGUA
This 204-nucleotide ribosomal RNA is filed under the name Clostridioides difficile. RNAcentral's name for it is "partial 23S ribosomal RNA". It matches the Rfam family "Bacterial large subunit ribosomal RNA", at positions 2679 to 2885 of the family's 2925-position model. Lineage: Bacteria; Bacillati; Bacillota; Clostridia; Peptostreptococcales; Peptostreptococcaceae. The record is from RNAcentral.